AUUGAACGCUGGCGGCAGGCCUAACACAUGCAAGUCGAGCGAGCGGCGGACGGGUGAGUAAUGUCUGGGAAACUGCCUGAUGGAGGGGGAUAACUACUGGAAACGGUAGCUAAUACCGCAUACCAUCAGAUGUGCCCAGAUGGGAUUAGCUGGUAGGUGGGGUAACGGCUCACCUAGGCGACGAUCCCUAGCUGGUCUGAGAGGUGGACCGGCCACCCUGGAACUGGGACACGGUCCAUACUACUACGGGAGGCACCAGUGGGGAAUAUUGGACAAUGGUGGCAAGCCUGAUGCAGCCAUGCCGCGUGUGUGAAGAAGGCCUUGGGGUUGUAAAGCCCUUUCAGCGGGGAGGCGUUACCCGCAGAAGAAGCACCGGCUAACUCCGUGCCAGCAGCCGCGGUAAUUC
RNAcentral lists this ribosomal RNA (406 nucleotides) under uncultured bacterium. Its description in RNAcentral is "partial 16S ribosomal RNA". It matches the Rfam family "Bacterial small subunit ribosomal RNA", at positions 30 to 526 of the family's 1533-position model. The record is from RNAcentral.